GUGUUCAUCCGGGACAUUUUCCGUGCAGGUGUCCCCGCUGUCAGCUCCCUCCACGCGGAUCACCGUGUCCGGGGUUCCUCCGUUCAUCCCCAACGAGCUGCUGGAGAACGAGCUGCGGAGGUUCGGCAAGUUGGCCAGCGGCUUCAGGACGCUGAGCCUGGGAUGCAAGGAUCCCAAACUGAGGCACGUCCAGUCCCUGAGGCGACAGGCCUUCAUGUUCCUGGACUCGCCCACGCAAACUCUGGAGGUGUCGUUUAAGUCAAGCACGGUGACGGGCACUACGUGGUGUAUGCGGGCUCGGGAAGUGUGAAAUGCUUCGAGUGUGGAGACGUGGGACACAAACGCUAUGCGUGCCCUCACAGACAUGCGGCGUCCGGCUCCGCGUCCGCGUCCGGCUCCGCGUCUGGUUCCGCGUCUGGUUCCGCCGAUGCGGCGCGCAGCGCCGCUCACGCCGGGGCAGCGGCGGGUGAUGCGGCGCCAGCGGCCGGUGACGCGGCCGGGUGAUGCGGCCGGUCCCGAGUCCGCCUUGCCCAGUGGGCCUGGUGGGCUCGAGGUGGUGGAGGUGGAACAGACUCUGGCCGAGAGGCAGCAGGCGUCUGCGGCUGCAGGAAACCUGAGCAUCUCUCAGUGUGCAGGACCAUCACAAGCACAGGCAGCAGUCAGGACUGAAGCAGACAGAGAGCACGGUGUGACCCCCAGUGAAGAACAGGGGGGGACCCACUAGCCAGGCACCAGCUCAGGGAGAUGACAUGGAGUAUGACUCGGGGUCAGACACAACAUCCGUUGGUGAAACUCCCGUCAAGAGUACUGAUCUCUACUCACUAGAGGAAAUUAACAACUUUCUAGAUGAGACUUUCAAGAAAUCAGUGAAAGUGAGCGAUCACUUCAGUGACAUUGAUAAAUUCAUCAGAUCUGUUAGUAUACUAAAAAGGGUGGUCGGGUUUGAUCUGUUGGAUGAAAAGAAACGCUUCCGACUUAAAAAGCACAUCACAGCUUUGAGGAAAGUGUCAAUAGUUCGACCUGUAAGAAAGACCAGGAAAUAGAACGAUCAUGCAUCACAUGGUGUUUUCUUCUAUUUACGUUUCUCUCCUUGUUUCAACUUGUUUCCUUUUUUCUGAACUCUUUAUGCGGAGCCUCAAGAUAGGAUCUUUAAACAUCAAUGGAGGGAGAGACAGACAGAAAAGGGCUCUAAUUUCUGAACUCUCGACACUAAAACAUACAGAUGUGUUGUUCCUACAGGAAACACAUACUACUCCAGCAGACGAGACAGACUGGGGUCUUUGGUGGGAAGGUCCCAGGGUCCUUAGCCAUGGCACCAACUUCAGUGCAGGAGUAGCUGUGCUGUUCAAAGCAUCUGCAGGGUUAACCUCGUAUCUUUUACUGAAGUGGUGAAGGGCCGUCUGCUUAUUGUUAGAGCAGAAGUAGAAGGGUCAGUUUUUUGUUUCGUUAAUAUUUACGCUCCAAAUCAGGGAACAGAGAGAGUUGGGUUUUUACAACCCUAAGAAAUGAGCUGAGGAAUUACCAGCAGGAUCAGCUCAUCAUCGGUGGAGAUUUUAACUGCACCACGGAUUUCACCAUUGACAGGACAAGUGAGGAACCCCACCCACAGUCAGCUCAGAGCCUCAACAGCCUCAUCACAGAUAUAGAUCUGUUAGAUGCAUGGAGAGUGAAGCAUCCACAAUCUAGGCAGUACACAUGGGUGAGGGUCAGCAAUAACAGGGUGAGUGCAGCAAGACUUGACAGGAUUUACAUCACUCAAAGCCUCAGCUCAAGACUAGCACACAGUAAUAUCAGUCCAGUAGGGUUCACUGACCAUCAUUUCAUUAGUGUAGAGUUGGUCAUCUCACCAGGCAACAGGGUCAAAUCCCACUGGUUUUUCAACAACAAGCUCCUGCAGGACAGUCAUUUCUGUCAGAGCUUUGAAUGCUUUGGCAGAAGUGGAGGGCGGAGAAAACAAACUUUAGUUCUCUGAAGAUGUGGUGGGAGGUGGGUAAAGCACAGAUUCGUGGUUUUUGCCAGCAGUACACCUCCCAUUCGACUGCUUAGAAUCAAGGUAGUUGUCCAGGAGCUGGAAACCACCAUUAAAAACAUUGAAGAGGGGUUGCACAAUAAUCCAGACCCCUCAACAGGUCAACUGUUGAAGGAGAAGAGGUUGGCGUUGAGCUCCUUUCUGCAGGAGAGAGUGAAGGGAGCUCUAGUUAGGUCUCGCUUCCUUCAGCUCAAGGACAUGGACGCCCCCACCUCCUUCUUUUUAAUCUAGAAAGGUCAGCGGCUCAGAGGAAGCAGAUGACCUGCCUUCAACUUCCAGGAGGCAGAGUGACCACCAGUCCAGGAGAGAUGAGGAGCCAUGCGGUGGGUUUCUAUGCCAAUCUCUUUGGGGCGGAGGAGUGCAGCAAGGAGUGCCGUGAGGAGCUCCUGGACGGGCUUCCACAGCUCAACCAGGGUGAGAAAGCU
This is a long non-coding RNA of Scophthalmus maximus (turbot), 2454 nucleotides long. Lineage: Eukaryota; Metazoa; Chordata; Actinopteri; Pleuronectiformes; Scophthalmidae. The record is from Ensembl.